UAAGAGUUUGAUCAUGGCUCAGAAUCAACGCUGGCGGCGUGCCUAACACAUGCAAGUCGAACGCGAAAGUCCCUUCGGGGAUGAGUAGAGUGGCGUCCGGGUGAGUAACACGUGGGUAAUCUACCUCUGGGUGGGGAAUAACUUGCCGAAAGGCGAGCUAAUACCGCAUAACGCAGCGGCACCUAAUGGUGAAUAGUUGUUAAAGCGGGGGACCGUAAGGCCUCGCGUCUGGAGAGGAGCCCGCGGCCGAUUAGCUGGUUGGUGAGGUAACGGCUCACCAAGGCUGCGAUCGGUAGCUGGUCUGAGAGGACGGCCAGCCACACUGGCACUGACAUACGGCCCAGACUCCUACGGGAGGCAGCAGUGGGGAAUCUUGGACAAUGGGGGCAACCCUGAUCCAGCCAUGCCGCGUGAGCGAUGAAGGCCCUAGGGUUGUAAAGCUCUUUCACCCGCGAAGAUAAUGACGGUAGCGGGAGAAGAAGCCCCGGCUAACUCCGUGCCAGCAGCCGCGGUAAUAC
Molecule: ribosomal RNA, 518 nt
Filed under: uncultured Pseudomonadota bacterium
Lineage: Bacteria; Pseudomonadati; Pseudomonadota
Description: bacterial SSU rRNA
Rfam family: Bacterial small subunit ribosomal RNA
Source: RNAcentral